This 456-nucleotide long non-coding RNA is filed under the name Mytilus galloprovincialis (Mediterranean mussel). Lineage: Eukaryota; Metazoa; Mollusca; Bivalvia; Mytilida; Mytilidae. The record is from RNAcentral.
UAAAGUCAUGCCGAUUAUAACAUGUAUAAGGUGCACAGUUUUCUCUGCUUUCAAAAUCUUUCUGUUUGAACCCGUCGACCUGGAACCUAUCAAUUGUUGGUAAUAUUAAUAAUUUGAAAACAAAAGGGCCUGGAAUGGAGUAUUUUUUACUCAACAGUAUACAGCAAAAUUCUAAAUACACUGUUUGCUGGUGCGCCUGUCAGAUGCGGAACGUACAGAUAAGGUAAUAGGUAACAGGUGAAUAUACUAUUGGUAUCGGUGUCGGACUCGAUCCGGAACUUCUUAAUUAUUGGCAAUAUUAAUUACGUGGAAAACAAACGGGCCUAGAGUGGUGUAAUUUUUAAUCAACACCAUUGUACUAUAUUAGUUAUAUAUAAAGUUUAAUUCUUUGAUUCAUCGUUUUUACGUGAUGACGGCUGACAAAUUGGACCUCGUAAUUUUAGUAUUAUAGAUAUA